RNAcentral lists this ribosomal RNA (258 nucleotides) under uncultured bacterium. RNAcentral describes it as "partial 16S ribosomal RNA". It matches the Rfam family "Bacterial small subunit ribosomal RNA", at positions 524 to 776 of the family's 1533-position model. The record is from RNAcentral.
UACGUAGGGGUGCGAGCGUUGUCCGGAAUUAUUGGGCGUAAAGAGCUCGUAGGCGGUGUGUCACGUCGGCCGUGAAAACCUGCAGCUUAACUGUGGGCGUGCGGUCGAUACGGGGCAUCACUGGAGUUCGGCAGGGGGAGACUGGAAUUCCUGGUGUAGCGGUGGAAUGCGCAGAUAUCAGGAGGAACACCGGUGGCGAAGGCGGGUCUCUGGGCAGUAACUGACGCUGGAGGAGCGAAGGCGUGGGGAGCGAACAGG